Molecule: long non-coding RNA, 596 nt
Filed under: Marmota monax (woodchuck)
Lineage: Eukaryota; Metazoa; Chordata; Mammalia; Rodentia; Sciuridae
Source: RNAcentral
CAGUCGGGAAGGUUCUAGGAAGGACCUGGUUCUCUCGGACUGUAGGUUUCCAACCCAUGGUUUUCAGGCCGACUGCAACAGAGCAGCCCCAACAUAGUGUGGUUGAGAUGAGGCAGGUGUGAUCCAGAUGUGAUCUCUUUGUAAUGGACAAGAGAACAUGAAGGUGCACUAGGGUGCCUUCUCAAGGGGCGGGAAGAUCAACAACACUCGCCAUUCAAGAGACGGAGGUGUAACGCUCUGAAUGUAGCAGUGGCAACACGGAGAGAUUUGAGUUCUAGAUCUAGGGCUCUCCCCUAAUGGAGGCCCUUUGCUAGAGGAUAGAGUCUAGGGGUGACCAGAAAGCUGGGGGCGUGGAUCAUUCCAAGUUUCCAGUCUCCUACCUGCACAGCCUCAGGACAGGGGAGCCCAGAAAAGGUGGUGUGUUGAAUAACAGUGAGGCUUGGUGAACUGGAUUCUCUGAUUUGCAACAAUCUGAUUUUGAAGCCAUCCACAUUUUGGAAGCCUCAGGCUCUUAGAGGCAGAGGUGCUCUUGAGGGAUUCCUGUGGGGAAGAGCACGGGCUGUGGCGCUGACGCCGGGCUGGCAGUAGAACCUGAC